RNAcentral lists this non-coding RNA (29 nucleotides) under Homo sapiens (human). Lineage: Eukaryota; Metazoa; Chordata; Mammalia; Primates; Hominidae. The record is from RNAcentral.
UAACACAGGAACAGAAAACCAAUCACUGC